ACCCUCCAAUCUCCUCCCCCAUCAGAUCUAAACCCAGGUCUGAGUGGUUACAAAAGGAGGGAAAGUAACAUUGAAACUGACUUCAGUGCUUUUGUAGCACAUGGGCUAGUUUUAGUUUUUU
Molecule: small nucleolar RNA, 121 nt
Organism: Echinops telfairi (small Madagascar hedgehog)
Lineage: Eukaryota; Metazoa; Chordata; Mammalia; Afrosoricida; Tenrecidae
Product: small nucleolar RNA SNORA61
Exons: 1
Source: RefSeq, a predicted model, not a curated record